Phoenix dactylifera (date palm) is the source of this 1097-nucleotide long non-coding RNA. RefSeq lists it as uncharacterized. Lineage: Eukaryota; Viridiplantae; Streptophyta; Magnoliopsida; Arecales; Arecaceae. The record is from RefSeq and is a predicted model, not a curated record.
UUUAUCUAACGACUUGAUUCAAUCCGACCUGAACCCAGAUUACCCAUUUAGACCCGCGGCCCACAGGCCGCAGCCGCAACUCACAGAAAAAAUCGCUCAGACAGUCGGCUUCCGUGAGGAGUCCUCAUGCCCUUAACCCAUUCAUUGCUUGAUUAAGCUUUCAGCCCAGGCUAGCCAGACCCAUAAUCCUAUUCACUCUCUUUCGAAGGGGAUCCAUCACCCCAUUCGUAAUCUCUGUUAGCCCAUCCAUUACCCCAUUCUUUCCCAACUCCCGAUUCUCCAUUUCUCACCUGAGUGCUGAGGCGGAGGAACCCUAGAGAAAACCCUUCCUUUCCGGAUCGAUCUCUCCCUUCAUGCUCGUCCAAAACCGUAGAGCCUGCAGCGAUUUAGCAAGUCUCUCCGACGUGCUUCGCCCCUUCUCCUAAAGUAUCUCCCUCCUCCGAAACCCUAAAUCUGCAACUUGCCCUCCAUUAUUAUCCUUCAUUCUCUCUUCUUCGAUUCCUCCUCCUCUAGAUAUUCCUCCCUUCUUCGAUUCUUCGAAACCCUAAGUCUUCCUCCUCAAGAUAUUACUCCAGUUUGGGUCCUUGUAUAACCCUAGGUUUCAGCAUUUUUUUAGAUAUUUUUGACUAUUUGAUGAAAUGCGUAAGUGGGCUUCUAGGUGCCGGUCUUGGCUCUGUUUUCCACCUGACUUUCUGUGUGAAUGCAUUUUUUUCCUAUGGGAGGAAUGAGACAUCUCCUUCUAGAGUCACAGGAUGCGCAGUUUUGGAUGGGUUGGGCAUGAAGUUCGAGCAUCAAAGUUAUAAGUUAGUUCAUUUUCUGAUACCGAUGAACCUUUGAAGAUCAUGCCUUACAUAAUCUCUUGGGCAUCAGUCUAGGGCUUAUGCGGCCGUGUCACGUGAUCGACCUGGAUGUUGGGUUCGGGGCGUAACAGAAGUGUUACCGAAAUAGCAUACCUUGAUGUAACUCUUUAUACAACGUAUCAAACUAGAUAAAAUAGACUAUUGUUACAUUAAAUCCAGAAUGGAUGUUGUAGAUUAUUACUGUUCAAGUACCAUAUUGAGCGUGAAUAAUAUGCUUUCUCAUUACUCUUGACUUCA